Molecule: ribosomal RNA, 242 nt
Filed under: uncultured bacterium
Lineage: Bacteria
Description: partial 16S ribosomal RNA
Rfam family: Bacterial small subunit ribosomal RNA
Source: RNAcentral
UGGGUCCUACGGGAGGCAGCAGUGAGGAAUAUUGGUCAAUGGACGAGAGUCUGAACCAGCCACGUAGCGUGAAGGAUGACUGCCCUAUGGGUUGUAAACUUCUUUUAUAUGGGAAUAAAAUGUUCCACGUGUGGGAUUUUGUAUGUACCAUAUGAAUAAGGAUCGGCUAACCCCGUGCCAGCAGCCGCGGUAAUACGGAGGAUCCGAGCGUUAUCCGGAUUUAUUGGGUUUAAAGGGAGCGU